UACGAAGGGGGCUAGCGUUGUUCGGAAUUACUGGGCGUAAAGCGCGUGUAGGCGGGUCUUUAAGUCAGAGGUGAAAUGCCAAGGCUCAACCUUGGAACUGCCUUUGAUACUGGAGAUCUUGAGUCCGGGAGAGGUGAGUGGAAUUGCGAGUGUAGAGGUGAAAUUCGUAGAUAUUCGCAAGAACACCAGUGGCGAAGGCGGCUCACUGGCUCGGUACUGACGCUGAGGUGCGAAAGCGUGGGGAGCAAACAGG
Molecule: ribosomal RNA, 253 nt
Filed under: uncultured bacterium
Lineage: Bacteria
Description: partial 16S ribosomal RNA
Rfam family: Bacterial small subunit ribosomal RNA
Source: RNAcentral